GGCCAGUCCAAGUGCAGUGGUGUUUCUAACUAAUUGAUCACAACCAGUUAUGGAUUCCUUUGUUCUUUCUCCAGUCCCACUGCUUCACUUGACUAGCCUUUU
This 102-nucleotide Y RNA is filed under the name Propithecus coquereli (Coquerel's sifaka). RNAcentral describes it as "Y RNA (ENSPCOG00000002557.1)". It matches the Rfam family "Y RNA". From Rfam's summary of the family: Y RNAs are components of the Ro ribonucleoprotein particle (Ro RNP), in association with Ro60 and La proteins. Lineage: Eukaryota; Metazoa; Chordata; Mammalia; Primates; Indriidae. The record is from Rfam by way of RNAcentral.